This 540-nucleotide long non-coding RNA is filed under the name Rattus norvegicus (Norway rat). Its description in RNAcentral is "long non-coding RNA NONRATT032205". Lineage: Eukaryota; Metazoa; Chordata; Mammalia; Rodentia; Muridae. The record is from RNAcentral.
GGGAUUGUUACCUCACUACUUCUUGGUUGCCAAGUCAUGCUUCAUUCAUGGAUACUUCACCAUCAUUACUUAUGUCUGAUCACUAUUAAAGCUGUUUUCAUCUUUCAACUAUGAGGAAUGACAGUGCUGCUAACACUGGAAUGCUGACACUGGAAUGCUGACACUGGAAUGCUAACACUAUAAUGCUGACACUGGAAUGCUAACACUGAAAUGCUGACACUGGAAUGCUGACACUGGAAUGCUGACACUGGAACAUACCCUCUUGUCUGUGCUUGUAUGCCUUCCUCCAGGCUGGAUAUGGAUAUACAUAGAAGGGAACUGAAGAGCCUUGCGGUAGCUUUGUGUUGUCCUAGCAGGAAUAUUUAUUGAGCACAGUGCAAAGCAAACACGCUGAGACAGAAGAUGCUGUCAGCGUCAGAAGCUGAUCUUCUGCUGAAACUCCCAGGCUUCCGCAUCUGUUGCCAGCAGUGAGAUUUUCCAAGGAUGGUCUUUAUCAUGCAAAAGAAAACAUGUUAUGUAGCUAGGUCUUUGACUCUUUCA